Molecule: ribosomal RNA, 376 nt
Filed under: uncultured bacterium
Lineage: Bacteria
Description: bacterial SSU rRNA
Rfam family: Bacterial small subunit ribosomal RNA
Source: RNAcentral
GUAGGAAUCGUGCGCAAUGGGCGAAAGCCUGACGCCGCGACGCCGCGUGAGGGAUGAAGGCCUUCGGGUUGUAAACCUACAUCAAAAAGUCACGGCUAACUUCGUGCCAGCAGCAGCGGUAAUACGAAGGUGGCAAGCGUUGUCCGGUCUUAUUGGGCGUAAAGAGUUCUGUAGGCGGAGUUGUAAGUUAUAUGUUAAAGGCUACGGCCCAACCGUAGUUUUGCGUGUAAUACUGCAAUUCUUGAGUAAUGUAGAGGUUAGUAGAACGUACGGUGUAGUAGUGAAAUGCGUUGAUAUCGUACGGAAUACCAAAGGCGUAGGCAGCUAACUGGACAUUUACUGACGCUGAGAGACGAAAGCUUGGGGAGCAAAACGG